This 723-nucleotide ribosomal RNA is filed under the name uncultured bacterium. RNAcentral describes it as "bacterial SSU rRNA". It matches the Rfam family "Bacterial small subunit ribosomal RNA", at positions 8 to 724 of the family's 1533-position model. The record is from RNAcentral.
AGAGUUUGAUCCUGGCUCAGAUUGAACGCUGGCGGUAGGCUUAACACAUGCAAGUCGAGCGGAAACGAUGUAGCUUGCUACAGGCGUCGAGCGGCGGACGGGUGAGUAACGCGUAGGAACCUACCUAGUAGUUUGGGAUAGCCCAGAGAAAUUUGGAUUAAUACCGAAUACGCCCUACGGGGGAAAGUGGAGGACCUUCGGGCUUCACGCUAUUAGAUGGGCCUGCGUAAGAUUAGCUUGUUGGUGAGGUAAUGGCUCACCAAGGCGACGAUCUUUAGCUGGUUUGAGAGGAUGAUCAGCCACACUGGGACUGAGACACGGCCCAGACUCCUACGGGAGGCAGCAGUGGGGAAUAUUGCACAAUGGGCGCAAGCCUGAUGCAGCCAUACCGCGUGUGUGAAGAAGGCCCUAGGGUUGUAAAGCACUUUCAGCGAGGAGGAAAGGUUGGUAGUUAAUAGCUAUUAGCUGUGACGUUACUCGCAGAAGAAGGACCGGCUAACUCCGUGCCAGCAGCCGCGGUAAUACGGAGGGUCCGAGCGUUAAUCGGAAUUACUGGGCGUAAAGCGUACGUAGGUGGUUUGUUAAGUUGGAUGUGAAAGCCCAGGGCUCAACCUUGGAACUGCAUUCAAAACUGAUGAACUCGAAUAUAGUAGAGGUAAGUGGAAUUUCCUGUGUAGCGGUGAAAUGCGUAGAGAUGGGAAGGAACAUCAGUGGCGAAGGCGA